ACGGAGGGUGCAAGCGUUGUUCGGAAUUAUUGGGCGUAAAGGGCGCGUAGGCGGUUGUGUAAGUCAGAUGUGAAAUACUUCAGCUUAACUGAAGAACUGCAUUUGAUACUGCAUAACUAGAGUACAGGAGAGGGAAAUGGAAUUCCCGGUGUAGAGGUGAAAUUCGUAGAUAUCAGGAGGAACACCGGUGGCGAAGGCGACUUUCUGGCCCUAUACUGACGCUGAGACGCGAGAGCGUGGGUAGCAAACAG
This 251-nucleotide ribosomal RNA is filed under the name uncultured prokaryote. Its description in RNAcentral is "partial 16S rRNA". It matches the Rfam family "Bacterial small subunit ribosomal RNA", at positions 525 to 775 of the family's 1533-position model. The record is from RNAcentral.